GACAGAGGCCUCGAGCGUUAGGCGGAAUCACUGGGCUUAAAGCGUGUGUAGGCGGAUCGUUAAGUACCUUGUGAAAUCCCACGGCUCAACCGUGGAACGGCUGGGUAUACUGGCGGUCUUGGGCCAUUCAGGGGCGACUGGAACAAGCGGUGGAGCGGUGAAAUGCGUAGAUAUCGCUUGGAACGCCGAAGGUGAAAACAGGUCGCUGGGGAUGUGCCGACGCUGAGACACGAAAGCCAUGGGAGCAAACGGG
This 253-nucleotide ribosomal RNA is filed under the name uncultured bacterium. Its description in RNAcentral is "partial 16S ribosomal RNA". It matches the Rfam family "Bacterial small subunit ribosomal RNA", at positions 524 to 776 of the family's 1533-position model. The record is from RNAcentral.